GUACUGUUGUCUCGGGGGCCGUUCUUCUUGUCAAAUACAAGAAGACACAAGCUGAAUUCAAGAGGAAGGAUGAGGAGAUUGAGGUGCUCAAAAAUGAGCUGGAGAGACUUCAGUGGCUGAGAAAUGACACACUUAAGGGGUAGGGGUCACAACGGAAGUUCACCAAGAUUACCUCUGCUAUCAAAAGGAUGGAGAAAGUAAAUCUCAAAUACAUACACAAACCUUCUUGUACAAUGUCACCACUGUUCCAUUAAGUUUGUGUCAGAUCACAACAGAAGUCAUCUCAAGGGACUUAUAUGAUUGGGAAGCAAAACCACUUAUGGAAUGAAGCCUUUGUUAAAAGCAG
Astatotilapia calliptera (eastern happy) is the source of this 346-nucleotide long non-coding RNA. NCBI's taxonomy places the organism in Eukaryota, Metazoa, Chordata, Actinopteri, Cichliformes, Cichlidae. The record is from Ensembl.